This 203-nucleotide ribosomal RNA is filed under the name uncultured bacterium. RNAcentral describes it as "partial 16S ribosomal RNA". It matches the Rfam family "Bacterial small subunit ribosomal RNA", at positions 1298 to 1500 of the family's 1533-position model. The record is from RNAcentral.
CUGCAGGCUGCAACUCGCCUGCACGAAGUUGGAAUUGCUAGUAAUCGUGGAUCAGCAUGCCACGGUGAAUACGUUCCCGGGUCUUGUACACACCGCCCGUCACACCAUGGGAGCCGGUAAUACCCGAAGUCAGUAGUCUAACCGCAAGGAGGACGCUGCCGAAGGUAGGAUUGGCGACUGGGGUGAAGUCGUAACAAGGUAUC